AAUCCGAAGAAUCCUUGAUGACUCUGAACUGAGGGAAGAGACCAAGAAGAAAAUUGCAAUUGAACAGGAACGUCAAGAGCGGCUUAAAUCUCUGGAGGCUCAGUGUUCUACCAAAUCUGUUAUGAUGAAUUCCAUGGCCAAUAACGGGAUUUCACUUGAUGGCGCUGGGCAUGAAGUGCUGGGUGAUACCUCUUCAGGUUACAUAAUAAACUUGGUGAGAGAGGACGGUGAAGAUGCUGUGAGGAUUCCUCCCAGUAUCUCAACAAAAUUAAAACUCCACCAGAUUGCAGGGAU
This is a non-coding RNA of Sesamum indicum (sesame), 294 nucleotides long. The record is from RefSeq and is a predicted model, not a curated record. NCBI's taxonomy places the organism in Eukaryota, Viridiplantae, Streptophyta, Magnoliopsida, Lamiales, Pedaliaceae.